CUACGGGUCGCAGCAGUGGGGAAUAUUGCACAAUGGGCGCAAGCCUGAUGCAGCCAUGCCGCGUGUAUGAAGAAGGCCUUCGGGUUGUAAAGUACUUUCAGCGGGGAGGAAGGGAGUAAAGUUAAUACCUUUGCUCAUUGACGUUACCCGCAGAAGAAGCACCGGCUAACUCCGUGCCAGCAGCCGCGGUAAUACGGAGGGUGCAAGCGUUAAUCGGAAUUACUGGGCGUAAAGCGCACGCAGGCGGUUUGUUAAGUCAGAUGUGAAAUCCCCGGGUUCAACCUGGGAACUGCAUCUGAUACUGGCAAGCUUGAGUCUCGUAGAGGGGGGUAGAAUUCCAGGUGUAGCGGUGAAAUGCGUAGAGAUCUGGAGGAAUACCGGUGGCGAAGGCGGCCCCCUGGACGAAGACUGACGCUCAGGUGCGAAAGCGUGGGGAGCAAACAGGAUUAGAUACCCCGGUAGUC
Molecule: ribosomal RNA, 464 nt
Filed under: uncultured bacterium
Lineage: Bacteria
Description: partial 16S ribosomal RNA
Rfam family: Bacterial small subunit ribosomal RNA
Source: RNAcentral